GAUGAACGCUGGCGGCGUGCCUAAUACAUGCAAGUCGAGCGAACGGACGAGAAGCUUGCUUCUCUGAUGUUAGCGGCGGACGGGUGAGUAACACGUGGAUAACCUACCUAUAAGACUGGGAUAACUUCGGGAAACCGGAGCUAAUACCGGAUAAUAUUUUGAACCGCAUGGUUCAAAAGAGAAAGACGGUCUUGCUGUCACUUAUAGAUGGAUCCGGGCUUCAUUAGCUAGUUGGUAAGGUAACGGCUUACCAAGGCAACGAUGCAUAGCCGACCGGAGAGGGGGAUCGGCCACACGGGAGGUUAGCCACGGUCAAGACUCCUAAGGGAGGCAGCAGUAGGGAAUCUUACGCAAUGGGCGAAAGCCUGACGGAGCGACGCCGCGUGAGAGAUGAAGGUCUUCGGAUCGUGAUACUGUGUUAUUAGGGAAGAACAUAUGUGUAAGGAGCUGAGCACAGCUUGACGGUACCGAAUCAGAAAGCCACGGCUAACUACGUG
This 497-nucleotide ribosomal RNA is filed under the name uncultured bacterium. RNAcentral's name for it is "partial 16S ribosomal RNA". It matches the Rfam family "Bacterial small subunit ribosomal RNA", at positions 28 to 507 of the family's 1533-position model. The record is from RNAcentral.